GAUGAACGCUGGCGGCGUGCUUAACACAUGCAAGUCGAACGGAAAGGCUCCAGCUUGCUGGAGUGCUCGAGUGGCGAACGGGUGAGUAACACGUGGGCAAUCUGCCCUGCACUCUGGGAUAAGCCUGGGAAACUGGGUCUAAUACCGGAUAGGACCUUUCUCCUCAUGGGGAUUGGUGGAAAGUUUUUCGGUGCAGGAUGGGACCGCGGCCUAUCAGCUUGUUGGUGGGGUAAUGGCCUACCAAGGCGACGACGGGUAGCCGGCCUGAGAGGGUGAUCGGCCACAUUGGGACUGAGAUACGGCCCAGACUCCUACGGGGGGCAGCAGUGGGGAAUAUUGCACAAUGGGCGCAAGCCUGAUGCAGCGUCGCCGCGUGAGGGAUGACGGCCUUCGGGUUGUAAACCUCUUUCGGUAGGGACGAAGCGCAAGUGACGGUACCUGAAGAAGAAGCACCGGCUAACUACGUG
This 467-nucleotide ribosomal RNA is filed under the name uncultured bacterium. RNAcentral's name for it is "partial 16S ribosomal RNA". It matches the Rfam family "Bacterial small subunit ribosomal RNA", at positions 28 to 507 of the family's 1533-position model. The record is from RNAcentral.